This 429-nucleotide ribosomal RNA is filed under the name Chloroflexota bacterium. Its description in RNAcentral is "Chloroflexi bacterium partial 16S ribosomal RNA". It matches the Rfam family "Bacterial small subunit ribosomal RNA", at positions 355 to 776 of the family's 1533-position model. The record is from RNAcentral. Lineage: Bacteria; Bacillati; Chloroflexota.
UGGGGAAUAUUGCACAAUGGGCGCAAGCCUGAUGCAGCCAUGCCGCGUGUGUGAAGAAGGCCUUCGGGUUGUAAAGCACUUUCAGCGGGGAGGAAGGCGAUAAGGUUAAUAACCUUGUCGAUUGACGUUACCCGCAGAAGAAGCACCGGCUAACUCCGUGCCAGCAGCCGCGGUAAUACGGAGGGUGCAAGCGUUAAUCGGAAUUACUGGGCGUAAAGCGCACGCAGGCGGUCUGUCAAGUCGGAUGUGAAAUCCCCGGGCUCAACCUGGGAACUGCAUUCGAAACUGGCAAGCUAGAGUCUUGUAGAGGGGGGUAGAAUGCCAGGUGUAGCGGUGAAAUGCGUAGAGAUCUGGAGGAAUACCGGUGGCGAAGGCGGCCCCCUGGACAAAGACUGACGCUCAGGUGCGAAAGCGUGGGGAGCAAACAGG